AUUGAACGCUGGCGGCGUGCUUAACACAUGCAAGUCGAUCGGUAACAGGUGUAGCAAUACAUGCUGACGAGAGGCGGACGGGUGAGUAAUGCUUGGGAAUCUGCCUAUUAGUGGGGGGACAACCCGGGGAAACUCGGGACUAAUACCGCAUACGCUCUACGGAGGAAAGCCGGGGACGCAAGGCCUGGCGCUAAUAGAUGAGCCCAAGUCGGAUUAGCUAGUUGGUAGGGUAACGGCCUACCGAAGGCGACAAUCCGUAGCUGGUCUGGAGAGGACGACCAGCCACACCGGAACUGAGACACGGU
Molecule: ribosomal RNA, 305 nt
Filed under: uncultured bacterium
Lineage: Bacteria
Description: bacterial SSU rRNA
Rfam family: Bacterial small subunit ribosomal RNA
Source: RNAcentral